AUACCUUUCUCGGUCUUUUGGCUAAGAUCAAUUAUGAUAUUUGUUUUUAUCCGUGUAAUAUAUGGUAUGUGGAUUAUAUGUUCACAAUGAUAAUAAAUUUAUUUUUUAUGGAAGAGUGUCUACUAUAGUAACUUGUUGUUGGGGCUCUCAUGUGCCGUUUAGGUGUUGCUCUACAUCCUAGCACUAUUAGGAGAAA
Hordeum vulgare subsp. vulgare (domesticated barley) is the source of this 196-nucleotide non-coding RNA. Lineage: Eukaryota; Viridiplantae; Streptophyta; Magnoliopsida; Poales; Poaceae. The record is from Rfam.